UGCCUCUUUUUCUCUCAGAACCGAGAGAAGGAAGAAGAGAAAGAAAAGAUGGGAAAUUUUCUCAUUUUUGCGAUCUACGAAGAUCUAACGGUCCGAUCUUCGAUCCGUCUUCGAAAACGUGAUCCUUGCACUUGGAUCUACGUUUCCACCGAUCGUUUUAAGGUAAUGGGUUACUUGGAACUUGCUUAAGACUACCCAAACCAUGGGUUUUGGUUUGGUGAAUUUUGGAUCAUGUUCGGAUUGGAGACUUUAAUUGGUUCUCCAAUGUAGAGUCCAAAUGACUAGAGUCCAAGGAGUGUUCGAGUUGGAGUCUAAUGCAGCCAAGAUGAUGUUUCUUUGGCUGCAGGUACUUCGGUAUAGUCGAUGGGUCGAUAGCAGUGUGCUUGGGAUAUUAUGACUGAAGCUCGCCGCGACAGUUGUAAUGGUCGGACCACGGGUUGUCCACUAUUUCAUAGGUUUGGUAUGGCUUGUGACGUUUGUGUCACUUAUUCUUUGUUAAGCCAUUAUUGUUAUAGUGUUAAUAAGACUCAAACAGAUAGAUAUUAAAUGGCUCUUUGUUGUAAUUAACUUGUGAUAGAUGUAUAAGUUGUAAUUUCCGCUAUACAGAUUUAUGUUUUCCGCUGCAUA
This is a long non-coding RNA of Alnus glutinosa, 627 nucleotides long. RefSeq lists it as uncharacterized. The record is from RefSeq and is a predicted model, not a curated record. The transcript has 4 exons. NCBI's taxonomy places the organism in Eukaryota, Viridiplantae, Streptophyta, Magnoliopsida, Fagales, Betulaceae.